Molecule: long non-coding RNA, 1408 nt
Organism: Girardinichthys multiradiatus
Lineage: Eukaryota; Metazoa; Chordata; Actinopteri; Cyprinodontiformes; Goodeidae
Exons: 2
Source: RefSeq, a predicted model, not a curated record
GGUGGGUUCAUAGGGAUGAGUGCGGUGUGGGAGUGAGGAUGAUUGAUACAGGAGAACAUGCAGCAGGAUGGAGCAGUGAGGACGAGGAACCACGAGACGAUGUAGGCGGCAUGUGAUGAAUGGAUGGGUGAUGAAAUAAGGCUUUUGAAAAAAAACGCCGCUCAGAGAAAGAGAUUGCCUCCUCGCCGCCCAGCUCAGGCUGGAUAUGAUUGAGCUGUCCUUGUGAUUGGGAGGCUUCCCCCCCCCCAGCCCUCUCUGUCCUCUCAGCCACUAUCUUGAGACUGGUGGUGGCUUGUAACCAUGGCGACAGCUGGUCUUGUUACCUGCGUAGAGGGAGGAGGAGGGAAGCGCGUGACUUUGAAGCUUGGGUUACCAACCACAGCGGAUGGAGGGAGGUUGAAGCUGGGGGUGGAGGGUGGGUGCUUCACACAAAGACCACACUGUUCUCUCCACAGCCAUUCACUGCUAGAGCAGUCAAAGAAGGAAACAAGAUCAAUAGCAUGAAGUAGUUGAUUAGAGUAACUCAAUAUUACGAGUUAAGUUUCCAGAGAUGCUUUUAGAACAGCCAUAUCAGGCGUUCCCUGUCUCUGUCUCUCAUGGAAGUAGAAAGAGUCAUUGCCAUGCUCCACACACCAAGAAUAAACUCCUAAAUGUUUGUCUGACUACAUCACUCCCUGAAGUGACAGAUAUUUACCUAAGCCCCAUUCUGCAAUCACUGAGUUUACACUAAAAGUGAGCAGCAGAGUUUAAUGGAGCCGCCCCAGAAAUGUGAAUGAGGGGACAUUAAUUGCAUGGACAGAAAUGAUUGCAUGUCCCAAUUCUCAGAUAAACCACCUUUGAACUGCACUGAACUCCAAGUUUCUCUGAUUAGCUGCUGUAAUUUGUCACUCCAACUUUAGUGGAUCUGCAGUACGUACCUUGGCCUUUACCAGUCUCAUUUCAAGGCUCCCCUUUGGUCUUUAUUUACACAAUGACUUAUUAUUGAGAGGCUGCUUUGCACAGAGAAGUAAUUAAUUUUUGACUAAUGAUGUGCCAGUUGCUUGACAACAGCAAUUACAUCUUAAUGAGGGAAAAGCUUUGUGUCAAAUGACUGAGAUGCUGCUGGAUUGGUGCUAAAUCGCUUUUAAGCCCACACAAAAGCCAAAAUGACAACAACUGUGGGUUAAAUACACAUUUUCAUUUUGAAAAUUAACUUGGAGAUCAUGAUUUAUAUGAUGACACUGGAUUAAGUGGGCCAUGAAUAUUUUAGAUCGCUAAGAAGUAGUUAAGUGAAAUAUUUUAUAUUUUGUGUUUAUAAGCAUUAAAUGUAUGCUAUUUAACCAAAUUUGUAUUUGUGCUGCAUUCAACUGCAUUUGUCAUUUAUCCUGUAUUGAUAGUUGGGUGAUAAAAAGACUGACUAACUGGGUGA